Molecule: unclassified non-coding RNA, 385 nt
Filed under: Hevea brasiliensis (rubber tree)
Lineage: Eukaryota; Viridiplantae; Streptophyta; Magnoliopsida; Malpighiales; Euphorbiaceae
Source: RNAcentral
GACCGAGCAUCUAUUUCAUAAAGGUAUUCUCUUAUCCAUCUCCUCAAUGUCCAGACAUACUCUAACGAUCAGUCAGUCGACCCGUGUUUGGCUUGCUGGAAAUUGCAGGAAUUGUGGAGCUUGGAAUUUUUUUUUUUUUCCAUGUUUACUUUGUUUUCAUCUCAUAAGUGUGUUGGCUGUCACAAAGAAUCAGCUAAAUUUAUUCAGGAUUCAGUUGAGUGAUAAAUAAAUAAAUAUUUGAUGUGAAUUUUUUCUUAUUUAGUUAUUUUUAUUCUGUCAAAAUCUUGAAGAUAAUGAGCGCUUUGUUGCUUUGGUUUGAUUGUUAAAUUUUUUCUUCUUUGUGAAAUGUAUCGAUGGUUUCAGGGGAAAUGAGUAGCCGCGCAAG